UGCUUACACAUGCAAGUCGAACGCUGAAGCCUGGUGCUUGCACCGGGUGGAUGAGUGGCGAACGGGUGAGUAACACGUGAGUAACCUGCCCCUGACUUCGGGAUAAGCCCGGGAAACUGGGUCUAAUACCGGAUACGACUGCCGGACGCAUGUCUGGUGGUGGAAAGUUUUUUCGGUUGGGGAUGGGCUCGCGGCCUAUCAGUUUGUUGGUGAGGUAAUGGCUCACCAAGACGACGACGGGUAGCCGGCCUGAGAGGGCGACCGGCCACACUGGGACUGAGACACGGCCCAGACUCCUACGGGAGGCAGCAGUGGGGAAUAUUGCACAAUGGGGGAAACCCUGAUGCAGCGACGCAGCGUGCGGGAUGACGGCCUUCGGGUUGUAAACCGCUUUCAGCAGGGAAGAAGCGCAAGUGACGGUACCUGCAGAAGAAGUACCGGCUAACUACGUGCCAGCAGCCGCGGUAAUACGUAGGGUACGAGCGUUGUCCGGAAUUAUUGGGCGUAAAGAGCUCGUAGGUGGUUGGUCACGUCUGCUGUGGAAACGCAACGCUUAACGUUGCGCGUGCAGUGGGUACGGGCUGACUAGAGUGCAGUAGGGGAGUCUGGAAUUCCUGGUGUAGCGGUGAAAUGCGCAGAUAUCAGGAGGAACACCGGUGG
This 660-nucleotide ribosomal RNA is filed under the name Brevibacterium sp. JSM 081041. Its description in RNAcentral is "bacterial SSU rRNA". It matches the Rfam family "Bacterial small subunit ribosomal RNA", at positions 45 to 715 of the family's 1533-position model. Lineage: Bacteria; Bacillati; Actinomycetota; Actinomycetes; Micrococcales; Brevibacteriaceae. The record is from RNAcentral.